This 425-nucleotide ribosomal RNA is filed under the name uncultured bacterium. RNAcentral's name for it is "partial 16S ribosomal RNA". It matches the Rfam family "Bacterial small subunit ribosomal RNA", at positions 354 to 796 of the family's 1533-position model. The record is from RNAcentral.
GUGGGGAAUCUUGCGCAAUGAGCGAAAGCCUGACGCAGCCAUGCCGCGUGAAUGAUGAAGGUCUUAGGAUUGUAAAAUUCUUUCACCGGGGACGAUAAUGACGGUACCCGGAGAAGAAGCUCCGGCUAACUUCGUGCCAGCAGCCGCGGUAAUACGAAGGGGGCUAGCGUUGCUCGGAAUUACUGGGCGUAAAGGGCGCGUAGGCGGACAGCUUAGUCAGAGGUGAAAGCCCAGGGCUCAACCUUGGAAUUGCCUUUGAUACUGGCUGUCUUGAGUUUGGGAGAGGUGAGUGGAACUCCGAGUGUAGAGGUGAAAUUCGUAGAUAUUCGGAAGAACACCAGUGGCGAAGGCGACUCACUGGCCCAAUACUGACGCUGAGGCGCGAAAGCGUGGGGAGCAAACAGGAUUAGAAACCCCUGUAGUCC